This 74-nucleotide transfer RNA is filed under the name Pseudomonadota bacterium. Its description in RNAcentral is "tRNA-Pro". It matches the Rfam family "tRNA". From Rfam's summary of the family: Transfer RNA (tRNA) molecules are approximately 80 nucleotides in length. Their secondary structure includes four short double-helical elements and three loops (D, anti-codon, and T loops). Further hydrogen bonds mediate the characteristic L-shaped molecular structure. tRNAs have two regions of fundamental functional importance: the anti-codon, which is responsible for specific mRNA codon recognition, and the 3' end, to which the tRNAs corresponding amino acid is attached (by aminoacyl-tRNA synthetases). tRNAs cope with the degeneracy of the genetic code in two manners: having more than one tRNA (with a specific anti-codon) for a particular amino acid; and 'wobble' base-pairing, i.e. permitting non-standard base-pairing at the 3rd anti-codon position. Lineage: Bacteria; Pseudomonadati; Pseudomonadota. RNAcentral also lists the same sequence under 1 other name. The record is from RNAcentral.
CGGGACGUAGCGCAGCCCGGUAGCGCACCAGAAUGGGGUUCUGGGGGUCGCCGGUUCAAAUCCGGCCGUCCCGA